AGAAGCAACGGAAUCAGAACAAUAUUGUUCAGUUGCUAUUGAAUGAGAAAAUUGUAUUACCAUCUCUGAACUGAAAGUGUCGCACCAUACAACGUUUUUUCCAUUAUAGCUGCUUAUAGUUCAGCAAUCUUAACAGAUGAUUUAUCAGAAUAGCCCUGAAGUUACAUUCAGGUGUGGUGAGUUCCCUUCUCUCUUCUAGGUCAUCAAUUUCCAGCAGAGCCCAAUUGGUGUUUUCAAUAAGCAACUAUAAAUGGGAAAUACCUCUACUCCAAUGUUUGAGAGCAUAUCUCAAUCUCUCUAGUUUUUUAUGAGCAACGCAGCUAAUUUUUUGCAAAGCAAGGUUUGGACCAGGAGGAAUGCCCCACUUCAUGAAAGCCAUGAUGAUCCACCCAGAAGUUUCCGAACCUAAAAACUUUGCUUUUUGGCACUGCAGAUUCAAUAGGCACUACAAAAGGUACGUGAUCUGACACUGGUUUGCACUAUGGCGACACUAUUGUAUUAGGAUAAUUAGAGGUCCAAUUAACAGAGGUAAAAUACCAGUCCAGUUGCUCAAGAGGGGGCAAGUUCUGCAUGUCCAUGUAAACGAUCUACCGUUGAUAGGCAAUUCCAUAAGGGAUUGGGUGGGGAUGAAAUCAUGAAAUAAAAGCAUAUCAUUGGCAUUACCUCCAGGUUUAUUACAAUUUUCAGGGCUAAGGAUGAAAUUAAAAUCACCUAGGAGCAGUCAGUCCUCAUUAUCUGAGAUAUCAAGAUCAAAAAGCCUGAGGUAAAAAGCUCCCUAUCCGAGCCACCACAAGGGCCAAAGAUAUUCACCAGUUUCCAAGAAGUGUUUGAUUGUGUAGAGGUAAAAUGCACACCUAGCGCAAAGGAUUCAGUAAACACACUAACCCCAUCGAAAACAACACUAUUCCAAAUAGUAAUUAACCCUCCAGAAGCCCAGCGGAGGAGAUAAACUGGUCAAAUCUCUUAGGACAUGACUACUUAAUAAACGAUCGAUCAAAAGACUAGCGCUUGGUUUCUUGCAAACAAACGAUAGCACAACCGCUUGUAUCAAUAGCAUUUCAGGUAGCUAGUUGCUUGUCCUCAGAAUUUAUUCCCCAAACGUUCCAGCAAAGGACGUUCCAGAUCUUGAAUCUUGGCAUGGAACUACUUGGGGGAGGACGAAGAUGAGCCAUCCUGAAGACUGGCUAGCAGCUUCUUCACGGAGAGCUCCUCGAGAGGGACAUCACACAUCCUGGUGCCAACAUUCUGCAUAGUGACAAUGGUGGUAGGAGGGAUCCAAUCACGAACGGCAGACUGAACACCAGUUGAGCCAAGUAGGGCAGUCUUGGCCUUGGCAGGUGGCCUAGCAGCCGACACGUUCCUGUCCUUGACCUUGGAAGCAGUUACUUCCAUAUGAGUCAGCUGGUUGACCUUGAAACCAUCAUAUCUGGUCGAACUAGAGCUGUGCCUAAGGUAAGUCGUGUCAACAUGGAGCUGCUCAUUGUGUUCCGCAUUCUGCAGUGCAGUCCAAAGAGAAGCAACCACGACAGGCUCAGAGGUCUGAACACCAACAGCACGCUCAACCACAUGUUCAGAGACAGGCGCGGGAGAGUUUAGGUUUGAUAGUUGGACCAAAACUUCUUCCCUUCGCUUACUUGGGCUAUCAAGAGGCCUAACAAGACCAGUCCCCUUUGUAGAAGUCCCCUUGAUCUAAAGUCCAUUAAAACCGACCACUGGCGUUGAGAGGCCCAGGACAGUCCAAAUUGUAAGUGUUGCCUCCAUGAGCCGGCAAGAACUCCAAGUAAUGAGUAGCAGACCGCCAAACAUCAAAAUCCAGCACAAAUCCAUCAACCAAGCGAGUGUCAAAGCAGAAAUCAAAGCUCUGGUUCUCAGGACGAAUAUUGUUAAUAAUAGCCAAGCAAACACUAUCAACCUGUGUUCUGAUAAGGGCAAAUGGGUUGAGAGGGAAACAUGCUCCUUCAGAACAGGUGCAGCUGUGAUAUGAGGUGUAGAUUAAUUUUAUCAUACAGCCAAUCCAACCCAACACAGGUGCAUCAAACGGAAUCAUGAGUGUUGAGGAUGCACCUCCAGCCCUGACAAAAAAUAACUGAGCAUUGUACACACCAUUAAUAAAAUUGUCAGUUGCAGCUUCCACCUCAGCAUAUUCAGACCAGACAUCAGAAAGAUUGUCCUGAAUGUUGUGCUCUUGAGGCACUCCAUCCAUAGGAGACUGCCCAUAAUAUCCAAAGUACCUUCUAAAGCUAAACCAGUAUACUACGGGGGAUUACUGGCAAAAAAACAGCCAUUGUCCUGCACACCCUCAUGAUCCUGUGGAACAGCAUUCCAGGCUGCCUCUGCCUGAAUCAUUUGUGCCUUCGUUGCAUCAAUCCUAGCCUACUGCAUGGGCAUGCAAUAUGGCAAUUUAUACGGAUGAGGUGAUGCGUUUAGCAGUGGGGGAACAUCUUCAUUGUCAACCACGUCCGGUAUGAUGUUCUUGCCAUUAAGGACAUACACAGGAACAGGCCAAGAUCUCCCCAAUUCAGGAAGCAAACCCCACACAAGUGACCAGCAGACUGUGGGGGCAUAGACUUAUUAUGCCUAGGGCGAAACCAAAGUUUCCCAAAAUUUAACACUGCUUUGUGAACGUAGUGAUCCAUCUGAUAGUCAAACGGGAAUGCCAGAAACAUAAUCCAAGCCUCAUACUCAAAAGCAGGUGUUCUCAUUCCAGUCCUUGAUCAUGCGGGAGUAAAGAAAACAAUGAAUCUUCAGUGAAUGGGUGGAGCCCCUCUCUGAUCAGAUUAUAACGGGUAUUGACAUCCUGAAGUGCAAUACAACCGAUUCCAAACGGAUAAACAAAAUCAUCAAGAACUGCAAACCCAAAACCAUCCCUAAUAAUGCAGCACACCUCAGCAAGCCUAAAACCCAAAAACCCUUCUGAUGGAGGUGUAGAAGUGCAUGCUCUAGCCAAUGCAACCAAAAGACAAAUCUGAUGGAAGAGACAAGGCAAUACAUUUAUACUAAAAAGCACGGACACGGCAGGAAUUGCCGAUUGGCCGUGUCUACACGGCGGGAUACGGCGACACGGCGGGAUACGGCUGGAUACGCGUAUCCCCCAGUAUCCCCUGAUUUUUGAUUAAAAAAAAGAAAAAAGCCCAGGGACACGGCGGGACACGUACGUGACACGGACGGGAUACGGCCCGGCCCAAAAACAGCCAUGGCCCAAAACGAAACCCUAUUUUUGCAGGAAUAGCACGCAGCUCUCCACACAUGCAACAACGAGGGACUCCCAGUCCCAGGUCCCAGUCUCUUCUGGAUCGAAGCCGCCACCUCCUGGAACGAAGCCGCCGCCGCCGCCGUCGGCGAUGCUUGGAUCCGACCGGCCACCACUACCCCCACACCAGGAGGCAGCAGCCUCUUCUCCUGAUGGCAGGUAACCCUCCCCAAUCCCUGAACUAACAGCCUCUCCUCCACUUCUUGACCUGUUUUAUUCAGAUUUGAUCUUCCAUUAAGCUGCUGGAUGUUGUGCUUGCUGCUUGCUAGCUGCUGCUCUUUGAAUGCCUGUAGAUUGUAGUAGUAGUGUACUACACUACUAGUGUAGUACUGCUUGUCUGCUUCAGUGCUUCUUUUUGCUAGCUUAAUAUCAUCCUGCUCUUGAAUGCUUGUAGAGCAUGGCACCUGGGAGUGGCACAGCCGGUAGCCAAUCGUCCGUGGGUGAGAGUGAAGGGCAGUCUGGUCCUGGUGUUUUGCAAGAUGCAACUUGCAAUGACAUGGUGGGACAAGGAUCAAUCAAGCACUUGAUAAAAGAGACACCGAAUGGGGCAGUAUCUCUAUUCUAAUCUUUUUCUCCUUUAUUUUCUGUAUUAACUCUAUAUUACAUGACAUAUUUUUAUUUUAUUUUAUAUAUGCUCACCGUAUCCCCGAAUGGCUGUUUUUGGAAAAUGCCGUAUCCCGUAUCCCCGUAUGCGUAUCCCCGACUUUCCGUUCCCAUGUCCGUGCUUUUUAGUGAGAUCACCAUGAUGUGUCUCCAUGAUGGGAUGGUCGUUGACCACCAUGAUGUGCCUCCAGACGCGAUGAUCAGGCCUUCUCUCAUAAGUGAGAGCCCACCAGAGCAAACUCGAAGGGGCGCACCGAGAAGUUCGCCAUUGGAGCAGAUAAAGCAGCAAGUAGGUGUCUCUUCGCACGCGGGUGGAUGAUGUGUUGAUGUUGUGGCGGCGGUGGCGUCGACGGUGAUGGUGGUUUCUAGGCGCAAGAAGCAGAGCUUGGGGGUUGUGGAAUUAGCUGCGUCAGAGCGGCAAGGGACAAUGGGAAGGUGCCACGUCGGUGCAACUCGGGAUUCUCUAUUUCACAACCCAAACUUUCCUCUGUGGAUAACCCCUUUUACAAUUUAUUAAAUUCAUAACAGAAUGGAUAUUUUUGGCGUCACAAUCCCUCUUGACCCUGUGCCUAUGUGAACCAACCUUAUGAUAUUUGCAUGACCAUAUGAGUCAAGGUUGCAGUAAUUCAACAUGAAGCAAGGAAUCAUGUAACGUUUCAACUCCAAGGCGUAAGCAAGCAAGGAACAUCGUUCUUCUCAACAUUAUUGACCUGGGCACCACGAUCGGUGCCAAACAGCCUCAAAAUUUGAGAUCACACACACACACACACACACACACACACACACACACACA
Aegilops tauschii subsp. strangulata is the source of this 4646-nucleotide non-coding RNA. The record is from RefSeq and is a predicted model, not a curated record. Lineage: Eukaryota; Viridiplantae; Streptophyta; Magnoliopsida; Poales; Poaceae.